Etheostoma spectabile (orangethroat darter) is the source of this 96-nucleotide long non-coding RNA. RefSeq lists it as uncharacterized. The transcript is spliced from 3 exons. NCBI's taxonomy places the organism in Eukaryota, Metazoa, Chordata, Actinopteri, Perciformes, Percidae. The record is from RefSeq and is a predicted model, not a curated record.
UCAACAAGGGGCCAGGCUGUUGCCUAGCAAUGGAAUUCCAUUGAAAAGGUCAAUAGAGCCAAAGUCACGCCCUUCUACUUCUGGUCCAUGGGACCU